RNAcentral lists this small nuclear RNA (162 nucleotides) under Naja naja (Indian cobra). RNAcentral's name for it is "U2 spliceosomal RNA (ENSNNAG00000012955.1)". It matches the Rfam family "U2 spliceosomal RNA". Rfam says of the family: U2 is a small nuclear RNA (snRNA) component of the spliceosome (involved in pre-mRNA splicing). Lineage: Eukaryota; Metazoa; Chordata; Lepidosauria; Squamata; Elapidae. The record is from Rfam by way of RNAcentral.
AUCGCUUCUCGGCCUUUUGGCUAAGAUCAAGUGUAAUAUCUUACUAUUUUUUUCUUAUUUUAACUUUUAUUUCUGGUCUGUCUUUUACAGUUAUGCUUUUGGUAGGUUGGGCUAUAGUUUCUUUUUGUCUGAAGACUGAUGCAAAGAAUGAGUUAAACAGUU